RNAcentral lists this ribosomal RNA (254 nucleotides) under uncultured bacterium. RNAcentral describes it as "partial 16S ribosomal RNA". It matches the Rfam family "Bacterial small subunit ribosomal RNA", at positions 524 to 776 of the family's 1533-position model. The record is from RNAcentral.
UACGUAGGGGGCGAGCGUUGUCCGGAUUUAUUGGGCGUAAAAGGCUUGUAGGUGGCCACGUCAAGUCGGAUGUGAAAUCUCCCGGCUCAACUGGGGAACUGCACGGGAAACUGGAAGGCUUGAGUUCGGGAGAGGGAAGCGGAAUUCCGGGUGUAGCGGUGAAAUGCGUAGAUAUCCGGAGGAACACCGGUGGCGAAGGCGGCUUCCUGGACCGACACUGACGCUGAGGCGCGAAAGCUAGGGGAGCAAACGGG